GUAUUGGUCCCGUCGGCGGGACGGCAGGGCUUCAGGCCAAAGCUCAGCGUGGCGUUCCUCGAGCCCAGCCCGAGAUUCAUCAACAGCGAUGAUGCCAUCCUCUCCCAUCUCACUUACCUUCUAGUCAAGGGAGGGGAAAGAAUGAAAUAUCCAAAAGGUAUCAACUUUCCAACGGCCAAGCGGAUCAAAGAGCUCGGCAGUGGGAGCGAUUCAGCAAG
RNAcentral lists this long non-coding RNA (218 nucleotides) under Phoenix dactylifera (date palm). Its description in RNAcentral is "long non-coding RNA (PDAC_LNC016483)". Lineage: Eukaryota; Viridiplantae; Streptophyta; Magnoliopsida; Arecales; Arecaceae. The record is from RNAcentral.